Molecule: RNA transcript, 4766 nt
Organism: Conger conger (European conger)
Lineage: Eukaryota; Metazoa; Chordata; Actinopteri; Anguilliformes; Congridae
Exons: 8
Source: RefSeq, a predicted model, not a curated record
CAGGAGAAAUGUUCUGCAUGUUCGGAGACACCAUUGUGGAAAGAAGUGUGGUUACGCGUCUUCAGUGGUGUCAAGGCUAUGCUUCUGGGCUGAGGUUGGCUCUGUUGGCUAAUGCACACCACCCUCCCUCAGAGUUAGUCGGCGAUGACAUUAAGACCGUUUCUGUGCCAUCGAUGAAGAGGCAACACUGAGUAACGCUGGUGUGUGUGUCUGUCCUGGACUGGGUUCUUGAGAAGAGGCAGUGUGUGUAACUCUGGUGUGUGUGUCUGUCCUGGACUGGGUUCUUGUUUCGGUGACUCCUGCCCUGUGGGAUGAAGAGGAUGCUGGGUCCCCUUCUCAAACUCCUGCUGGUUUUGCCGGCGGUGUCACACGGCACUGCGACGUCCUGUGACAUCAGCAGGGAUAAACCGGUUCGCUGCUAUGGAACACUGGGGCAGUCCGUUUCUAUAAAUCUGAAAACAGCCACCAAUCCAUGUUCUGGCGUACAACUUGAAAUAAAAUUCAAUGGUGAUACAUUUUUCAGAUGCAAGAAUGGUGCACCAACUCCUGAAAAAACCUGUAAUAAUCACUGUCGUUUAGACAAUCGGACUUUCAGGCUGGAGAACUUAACAAAAAGUCUUUCUGGGAUGUAUUCUUUUGAAGAGUUCGAUAAAAAUGGGACGACAGCGCAAAAGGGAAACAUAGAGCUGAUUAUUCAAGCCCCAGUGUCUCCCCCUGAACUGUCCCAGCUCUGUCAGCCCCAUGGAGAGAUUCGGGUCUGGUGCUCCAGCACAGGGGAGGCCCCCCAGUACAACUGGACUCUGAAUGACCAACCCCUGGAUGGGGGGGUGGCCUUCCUCAGCAAUGAGACCCAAACUGUCAUACUGAAGAGGGACAUACCUGGAUCUAUCACCUGUACAGUCAGUAACCACGUCAGCAAGGAAAACACCACCCAGGAACUCCUCACCUGUCGAGGACUUGGAGCCCCUGUGAAGUGCACCAAUGGGACUGAGAUUGAUGUGAGGAUGAAUGCCUCCUUAAACGCUGCAUCUCUGCUAAACAAUACAGAAAUAUUCUUUAUGGAUCGAGGGGGAGAAUACGUGUCUGCCAUUUGUAAGAUUAAUUCCUACACUCAAAAUAAGUCUUCUGAAAAUUCACAAACAACAAAUUUCACUUGUGAGUCCCAACAGCUGAUGAUUGUUUCUGUGGCACUGGCAACUUGCUUGGUUCUUCUCGCUAUCCUGUUGGUGACCUGCUGCUGCCUCUACAAAAAGAAGCAAAAACAACCAAUGGGAAGCCAGAGGAGCAAUGGCGACGGGCCGGAGGGGGACCCGCAGGAGUUGGUGUACUGCCAGGUGCAGGUGGCGAAGAAGAAGGAUCGCCCAAAGAAGCAGCAGCAGGAGCCGCAGGUGGUCUACGGGGAGGUGAAAGUGUCGGGCAGGGCGAAGGCCGCCAGGCACUCAGCCGAGGGACAGGCGGACACGGUGUACUCUGGCAUCCGCACGUAGGUCCAGCCAAUCGCAGCGACCUUCGUCAAAUUUAGACCGAAUACUCAGUUAUAAUUCAGGGGGAUUUGUCAACGGGAAGUACAACACUGGGGAAGGAUAUCUUAAAAAAAUAAAAUAAAAUAAAAGUCUCACAUUUAUUUUGGUAAUUUGAGGAACUGUCAUUUUCUUCCCAUAAAGCUUUGUGGGAGAGUUUGUGUGUUAUACAAUAUAGAUGCUGCAGAACACAAACAGAUAACUAUGUGACCAGCAGGGCUUGACAUCAACACCUACCACUGGCCAAAUGCGGAUAUAUUGGCAUUUUUUACUGGCUACUUUGGCAGGUGAGAUUUCAGUAACAUUUUAUAUGAAGAAAGAAAAUUGUACUUUCCAAAAGGAAGUAAGUGCAUCAUUCUAACCAGGUGUUCUAGUAUCGCUGCGGACUUUCCUCUAGACGCGGUAAUGUUUGAUUUUAAAUUGCUAAUUUGAACAGCAUGGGUUAGGGCUUGAGCCAGUUUGUUGUCUCUAUUGCUGUUAAUCACUUCUACUAUUUGCAUACCUGUAGAGUGAUUGAACGUUUGUCUUAAAUAGCUUAAAUAGCUGUGGAAUUUAUCAGUAGAUUAGCUUUGAUUUGAUAUUGCUUGUGAGCAAUUGUAGGUGAUUUAAAUAGGCGUGUCAGAGCGACGCUAGCGUAUAUUAGACUCGCGAAAGUUGUCCUUAGUCAGUAAAUCAUUCUAACCAGGUGUUCUAGUAUCGCUGCGGACUUCUCCUCUAGACAACAUUCCUCAAAACAUUGGUGCUAGCCUUCCAAGCAGUUAAGGGGUCUUCCCCAGCUUACCUACAAAAAAUCAUCAGACCCUACACCCCUGCCAGACCUCUUCGUUCAGCCUCCACAGGCCGCUUGGCACCUCCCCCUCUCCGAACCUCCACCUCACGCUCACGACUACUGUCUGUUCUGGCUCCACGGUGGUGGAACGAACUCCCCGUUGAGGUCAGAACUGAAGAAUCUCUCCCCACCUUCAAGCGCAAGCUGAAGACACACCUCUUCAAGCAGCACCUCUCCCCAUCCCUCCCUACCUCCCUGUGAACCUUAAUUGUUGUCUUUGUGAUUUACGUAGUGUUUCGGUAUUUUUAGUUGGCUAGGUAAGCAGUAUUUGGAUAGUUAAGUUUGGUCACUUUGGCUUUGUUGUUUGUUUGUUUAUUUGUUGAUAAAAAACUUUUUUUUUUUAAAUUAAAAAAUAGGCCCUGGUCCUUAUCUUUGUUGUAUGGGUAGCAAUUGAAAUUGUACUUCCCUCUAGGGUGUUUCAGCGCACUUACCCCUGGUUAUGGGUAUGCACUUUGUUGUACGUCGCUCUGGAUAAGAGCGUCUGCCAAAUGCCAAUAAUGUAAGUGUAAUGUAAUGGAAUCUGAAAUUAAGUCAAUUGAAUUACGGUUAUGUUCCACCGAAAACACAUCUUUGGUCUUUCCGCGCACUUAUCCCUGGUUAUGAGUAUGCACUUUGCACUUUGUUGUACAUCGCUCUGGAUAAGAGUGUCUGCCAUAUGCCAUUAAUGUAAUGUAAUGUAAUGUCUUCCAUAUGAUUUCAGAGGUACUUUCGUGAGAUAUGGAAUUGAAAACAUAAAUUCCGACAAAAUAUGUCAAUUAGCUUAUUUGCCUACUUUACUCAAGAUGGCGGAAAUGACAAAAGUCUAUAAUCUGAACCAAGUAAGAUAUAGUUAUAAUGUUCUAAAUAAGAUAUGUUUGAAGAUGUUUUGAGCCAUUUUUGCAUCACCAGACCCCAAUAGUCAUUUUUCUAGAAAUGUCAGAUUUUUCAUGAAGAAAAAUUGUGAAAUUUCCGGAUCAAACAAUGAGAUUUGUGAUGCUGUACCUGUCCCUAAAGCUUAUAACAAGAAAAUAAUUGGUUCUCCUGGAUAUGAAGUUAAGGAUUUCAAAGUUUCAUGAUGAUAGGAUGACUAUGCACUGAGAACUCCAAAGAUAGAAAUGGUAAAUAAUUAUACUAAUUCCACCAUAUACAUGGCGUAAUCACUCAGAAGGUGGCAUUAUCCUGAAAAUUGAAUAGGUGAGGGAUGAUUUGCAGCAAUAAACAGAAAAGGGUCAUUGAUUUUUUCAGUGGAACAGAACCUUAAGGCAAUUUUGCGGUGACCCUGCAUGAUACUACAACUCCCAUGAGCACUAGGUGCCAUCUCGCUCUAGCUUCUUCAGUGGGAGCAGGCGAACUUGGGUGAACACAGCGCUGCAACUUCAAAGUGUCUGUUUGUAUCCAUGGCACUGGACAGCGCAGAUUCAGAUCCUCUAGUUCCAAUCUGAAAACAUGGAAGUGACAACGAUCGCAGCACCGAACACAGAAAAAGAUAACGGUUCAGUAAAUGAGCGUGAACUUCGACCACAGACAGUCCUGUGACUUUGAGAAAUGCCCAUGAAUUCAAAGUUGCUUCAGCUUAUUUUUAAAAGGCAAAGAAAAUAAAAAAGGGAAAACAAAAAAAGAAAGAAAGUAGGCUUGUCACAGUGUCUGGUUUAAGCUGUGCAUUCAGCAGUUAUACUGCAUAAUGCCAAUACUGAUAUUUUGUAAUUGUAAUUAAAAGUAGUCAUUAAAAAAUAGUCAAAGUAAAAACAAUCAAAAAUUAAGAAAGAGUUCUGUUACUCCAUAAAGCGUCUGUAACGGCAGGAUACAGAUAAAAACAUUGUGCAUGUCACAUCAACAUUAUGUAAAAUUGUGGCUAUGGGUGUGGCAGCCUGUCGAGAAGUGGCUAAGUUAUGACUGGGUCCAGGAUGGUUGACGGUUCAAGCCCUGGUGUAGCCACGAUACGAUCCACACAGCGGUUGGGCCCUUGAGCAAGGCCCUUAACCCCGCAUUGCUCCAAGGGGGAUUUUCCCCUGCUUAGUCUAAUCAACUGUAAGUCUCUUCAGCUAAAUAACUGCAAUGUAAUGUGUGCACUUUGUUCUCUGCACUGACACAUGGAGAAUAUUCAUGGCAAAGGUCUGCAAUAUAAGUGUUUUGUAAUUGAAAUGAUUUUGAAGUGCAUUUUUUAUUUAAUGUUCUCUUUAACAAGCUAACAUGGUAGUUAAGAGUGGUGUAUAUCUUUUUUGGUUAGUGUUGGUGACUUAGCAAUUACAAUGAUUUUUAUAUACCUACAUGUCUAUUUGCCUUCAGUACAAUCUAUUUUUGUCAUGUGUAUUUUUUCUUUAAUGAUGUAUUUUAUAUUUCUUUUUUAUAUGAAUGAAGAGUAUAAUGUCUCAACUCAUGCAUGUCUCUGCAACAUUAUUUGUGAAUGUAUAUUUUAAUAAAAUGGGUUCCAACUGUUA